UGGUCAUUACCAAGGCUUUUAGAAUGCAGUUUCUCAUUUGCUGUGGACAUGACCAUAAAGAAAAAUUCCCAUGAGGUUUUUCAUAUGCU
This 89-nucleotide small nucleolar RNA is filed under the name Mus caroli (Ryukyu mouse). RNAcentral's name for it is "snoRNA (MGP_CAROLIEiJ_G0036122.1)". It matches the Rfam family "Small nucleolar RNA SNORA32", at positions 1 to 88 of the family's 121-position model. Rfam says of the family: ACA32 is a member of the H/ACA class of snoRNA that guide the sites of modification of uridines to pseudouridines. The record is from RNAcentral. Lineage: Eukaryota; Metazoa; Chordata; Mammalia; Rodentia; Muridae.